UUUUACAAUUUCAAUUCAAUUUUUACCUAUUCCGUAUAUUUUGUGAGAUUUUGAUUUAGCCUCAUUUUGAAUAAAUCUCGAAAGUAAGUAGUACGUUCGACCAGAAUGCGCACUCUUUAGAGUGCCACCCGGUAUAAAUCCAUACUUUUCACGGAUUUCACAAAAAAAAUACAUACUCGACCAAUAAAAGACGUGAGACUGGUUCGAGGACCCCACCCAGGUGGCGCGUCGGCGCCGAAAUAGAACCUGGGCCCCAAAAAUCAGCUUAUUGGCAAUCUCCCUACUCAUCUCUGCAAAAAUUGUCUGGUGCCGUAAUAAAUAAACGAGUCGCGUCGAAACUCAACGGUCCCCGUUGACGUGAACACGAAUAAUUGAUAAAAAUAAAUAGUGCCGGGACGACAUCUUAUCGCGAGAGUUCACAACACAGCUGUGAAUAUAUUCAUAAGUGACAUGAAUACCAACGAUAAUCUCGAUCAAUGACUUGAACUAAGUCAUUCUAAAUCCCCCAUUGGAUUAUUAUACACAAGAAAAAUAACCGUAGUAACCUCAUUCAUCUUGGACGAAAUAUCGUGAAUCAACAAAAUGGUGGUUCGAUGCGAUAUAGAAACUUUAAUUAAUUAAAUUCCUUCAACUUGUGUCUCAAGAUAAUCACAGAAAACGUAUAGUUAUCGCUACAAGAAUGUAUGAGAGUCAGACUUGACUUUUUGUCUAAAUUCCAAAAGUUUUAUCUACGUACAGGAUAACGUAGGCGGUACCCUUUUACACCAUGGAGCACAGAACACCAUAAGAAACACGUGGUCCACCUUCAACAUGGAAGUUCAGCCGAGAAUCCGAUGCUACUCGAAACCCGCAAACUUAAUCGCCUCUGUGUAUAGUAUAUAUACCACUCUAUCCAAAGCAGCUGGUGGGAUCUCUUUGAACUUGCCGCGAUGUGGCGAAUCGCUAGGGUUAACACGAGAGCAAAGAGUCGAUUAUAAGAUGACUCAAGUGCUCCGCCUAAACAUCAUCCUAACUCUGGAACCACCUAUAUUUUCGUAGAUAUAACAUCACUUAAUGAAAAAUACUGUAGACUGACACCAAAGAUAUUUUUGUCAAAAUAUCUAAUGCAGUAACGAGUACAGCUUUAAUUUUUUUCAUAUGGAAUACAUAAUGUAGCAGCAUGCCCGAAAAUUUACUGAGGAUUCUGCAGUAAUCGCCUGUACGUAUACUUCAGAUAGUCCUACGAAAGCCAAAGAACUGUACCGGAAGAACGUGACAGAAACAUGAAGAAAAAAAAAGAGAAAGAGUCACUUUUCAAACAACGAUUCGUGAUCGCCAUAUAAUUGACAAAUAUUAAAAGAAAAAGAAGACAGGAAUAUAAAGACGACCAUUAAUAUUCGCAAGGUGUUCGCAGCGUCUUCUUGUCUGGGUUUGCAUUUUCUCUGCUCCUUAAUAGACAUACGAUUCCUCCUCUAUCUCCGAACAGUUCGUGAUUUUGCAUAAGUGAAUACGCAUAUGUAUGCGAAGGCGUCCCAUCCUGAAUUAAUCUAGCGAGUUCGGAGUCAAGAAAUCGUAGGAGUCUGAAAGACAGAUAAACACGUGCCCAGUACCAGUUCUGGGUAGGGUGGCUGACUGGCUGGCUGGAGGACCGACUGACUGACGUGAUGGACACACGGAUGGACGUGCGCACUGACUGACAGCUGCGUCACUUUUGUUUUGUAUCUUUUUUCAUCAUUGUUAAGGUCUGCCACGCCUAGCCAUAAUGCACGGCGAGACUCAUUGUCUGUACACUAUGGUGCCAACUUAUCUUGGAUCUUAUGAGCAACCAGUAUAUGGAAUAAUAAAUUGGCAGUCAAGACCAUCGUGGAUUUCAUGUGAGUCAAGCUGCUGAGACUGUGAGGUCCUUUUUAUUUUUUCAAGGAAUCUCUUGCUACGUUACGUUCCUAGAAUAUAACAGUUCCAAGAAAGGUCUUGAAGAGCUUUUAAAGAUUUUCAAAUCCAAAGAAAAGACAAGGGCAUCCAAUGGUACAGCUUGACUUGUAACUUGAUCAUACUAAUUUGAUUACAAAAAUAAAUAUACAGGGUGGGAUACUUACAGUGUCCGGAUCAAGACAAAAUACCCGUUCUUCACGUUACUUGGGAUCUGCUAUCUAGUCUCUCUAAUCAUCCCCUUUAUUCAACUCUACAAGGAAUCGAAUCCCAGUGGAGCGCGAAAGGCGUCGAAAUUUAAGCCAGGCACUUUUAAAGUCCCCAGCCAGCUAAUGGCCCUAGUCAAAUUACGCUUUAAGCCGGGUACACAAUGUGCACCAGGAUCGCUUUAAAUCUGCCAAAGGGGAAAGGACUAGCCGACCAAGUGGUCAGCAUCCAGCCAAGAACCGGAGCCAUUUAACGACAUUGCUAAAAGCAGCUGGCUGAAAAGUUUCAGAAAAUAAUAUUAACUCCCUGCAUGGAUCCUGAUGUACAUGGAAGUACUGAAGUAUUCAAUGCCACGUUACGUGACAUUUCUAUGGAAUUUUAAAGCGAUAACAACCAAGCGAUACGAGAGCCAGUUACUUGCAAUUGUAAUAGUAUCAACAAACAUUGACGCACGGUAGUAGCAGGAAACGCUGUCAGAGAACAAUUUCCGCC
Cephus cinctus (wheat stem sawfly) is the source of this 2607-nucleotide long non-coding RNA. RefSeq lists it as uncharacterized. Lineage: Eukaryota; Metazoa; Arthropoda; Insecta; Hymenoptera; Cephidae. The record is from RefSeq and is a predicted model, not a curated record. The transcript has 8 exons.